This is a long non-coding RNA of Salvelinus sp. IW2-2015, 307 nucleotides long. RefSeq lists it as uncharacterized. Lineage: Eukaryota; Metazoa; Chordata; Actinopteri; Salmoniformes; Salmonidae. The record is from RefSeq and is a predicted model, not a curated record.
GGGAGAGCUAACGAGAACGAGGCGGCAAGUCAAAGACCCGUGGAGCCUGAGGACAGAACAUGGACACAAUGCAAUUGGGAUCAAGAAGAAGAUCUUGUCAGAAAUGAAUCAAGUCCAUGGAAUGGAUAUAGACAAAAAUAUAAUUCAAGGACUAUCAGAGGUAGAGGCAAGGCAGAGGUGAGGACAUCAUCCUGCUUUUUUGAUAGUCCCUGAAGGACAAUACAGAAGAGGUACUUGCUCUUAUUCCUUCCCUUUCUCUAAUGUAUUUUGUAAUAAAAUUAGCAAGUGUAGUAAGAUAAUCAAAUCA